AGGGUCCUUAUUUAUAGACGGAGAGGGCAACCGGUUGACAGUGACGUCUGUAACCGCCUGAUAGUGGGCUGUUCAGAGCCGCCUGAAGUUUGUUACGGAGAGUAGUGGCAUCAGGGGUCAUUCAGGGCCACAUGGAGUUGGUUACGGAGAGUGAAGUGGUGGCCGUUGUCGUGACUUGCCAAAGAGUAGUGGAGCCCUGUGGAAUCUACUGCUG
This 214-nucleotide long non-coding RNA is filed under the name Elaeis guineensis (African oil palm). Its description in RNAcentral is "long non-coding RNA (EGUI_LNC056179)". The record is from RNAcentral. Lineage: Eukaryota; Viridiplantae; Streptophyta; Magnoliopsida; Arecales; Arecaceae.